RNAcentral lists this ribosomal RNA (465 nucleotides) under uncultured bacterium. RNAcentral describes it as "bacterial SSU rRNA". It matches the Rfam family "Bacterial small subunit ribosomal RNA", at positions 331 to 793 of the family's 1533-position model. The record is from RNAcentral.
CCAGACUCCUACGGGAGGCAGCAGUGAGGAAUAUUGGUCAAUGGGCGAGAGCCUGAACCAGCCAAGUCGCGUGAGGGAAGACGGCCCUACGGGUUGUAAACCUCUUUUGUCAGGGAGCAAGAACGGAUACGUGUAUCCGAGCGAGAGUACCUGAAGAAAAAGCAUCGGCUAACUCCGUGCCAGCAGCCGCGGUAAUACGGAGGAUGCGAGCGUUGUCCGGAUUUACUGGGUGUAGAGGGCGUGUAGCCGGGCUGACAAGUCAGAUGUGAAAUCCGGGGGCUCAACCCCCGAACUGCAUUUGAAACUGUUGGUCUUGAGUAUCGGAGAGGCAGGCGGAAUUCCUAGUGUAGCGGUGAAAUGCGUAGAUAUUAGGAGGAACACCAGUGGCGAAGGCGGCCUGCUGGACGACAACUGACGGUGAGGCGCGAAAGCGUGGGGAGCAAACAGGAUUAGAUACCCUUGUAA